RNAcentral lists this ribosomal RNA (330 nucleotides) under uncultured bacterium. Its description in RNAcentral is "bacterial SSU rRNA". It matches the Rfam family "Bacterial small subunit ribosomal RNA", at positions 568 to 898 of the family's 1533-position model. The record is from RNAcentral.
CGCGUAGGCGGGAUGGCAAGUCGGUCGUGAAAGCCUUCGGCUCAACCGAAGAACGUCGGCCGAUACUGCCGUUCUUGAGGGAUGCAGAGGAGACUGGAAUUCCCGGUGUAGCGGUGAAAUGUGUAGAGAUCGGGAGGAACACCGGUGGCGAAGGCGGGUCUCUGGGCAUCUCCUGACGCUGAGGCGCGAAAGCGUGGGGAGCAAACGGGAUUAGAUACCCCGGUAGUCCACGCUGUAAACGAUGACGACUAGGUGUGGGGGGUUAGUCCCUUCCGUGCCGCAGCUAACGCAUUAAGUCGUCCGCCUGGGGAGUACGGCCGCAAGGUUGAA